RNAcentral lists this ribosomal RNA (386 nucleotides) under Vibrio tapetis. RNAcentral's name for it is "bacterial SSU rRNA". It matches the Rfam family "Bacterial small subunit ribosomal RNA", at positions 79 to 465 of the family's 1533-position model. The record is from RNAcentral. Lineage: Bacteria; Pseudomonadati; Pseudomonadota; Gammaproteobacteria; Vibrionales; Vibrionaceae.
CUUGCUACUUCGGCGUCGAGCGGCGGACGGGUGAGUAAUGCCUAGGAAAUUGCCCUGAUGUGGGGGAUAACCAUUGGAAACGAUGGUUAAUACCGCAUAAUGCCUUCGGGCCAAAGAGGGGGACCUUCGGGCCUCUCGCGUCAGGAUAUGCCUAGGUGGGAUUAGCUAGUUGGUGAGGUAAUGGCUCACCAAGGCGACGAUCCCUAGCUGGUCUGAGAGGAUGAUCAGCCACACUGGAAUUGAGACACGGUCCAGACUCUUACGGGAGGCAGCAGUGGGGAAUAUUGCACAAUGGGCGCAAGCCUGAUGCAGCCAUGCCGCGUGUAUGAAGAAGGCCUUCGGGUUGUAAAGUACUUUCAGCAGUGAGGAAGGGGUGUCCGUUAAUA